This 910-nucleotide ribosomal RNA is filed under the name uncultured bacterium. Its description in RNAcentral is "bacterial SSU rRNA". It matches the Rfam family "Bacterial small subunit ribosomal RNA", at positions 27 to 960 of the family's 1533-position model. The record is from RNAcentral.
GGACGAACGCUGGCGGCGUGCUUAACACAUGCAAGUUGAACGGUAUGACAUGGAAGCUUGCUGAAGUGUCAUAUAGUAGCGGACGGGUGAGUAAUGCAUGAGAAGCUGCCAUUGGGAGGGGGACAACAGUUGGAAACGGCUGCUAAUACCCCGUAUGCCGGAGGGUGAAAGGGAGUAAUCCGCCCGAUGAGGUGCUCAUGUCCUAUCAGCUGGUUGGUGGGGUAACGGCCUACCAAGGCGACGACGGGUAGCCGGCCUGAGAGGGUGAACGGCCACACUGGAACUGAGAUACGGUCCAGACUCCUACGGGAGGCAGCAGUGGGGAAUAUUGGGCAAUGGGGGCAACCCUGACCCAGCGACGCCGCGUGGGGGAAGACGGCCUUCGGGUUGUAAACCUCUUUUGUACGGGAAGAAGGAAGUGACGGUACUGUACGAAUAAGUCCCGGCUAAGUACGUGCCAGCAGCCGCGGUAAUACGUAGGGGACGAGCGUUGUCCGGAAUUACUGGGCGUAAAGGGCGCGCAGGCUGUGCUGCAAGUCAGCUGUUAAAUGUCUGGGCUUAACCCGGGCAUGCGGUUGAGACUGCGGUGCUGGAGUGCUGUAGAGGCAAGUGGAAUUCCCCAGUGUAGCGGUGAAAUGCGUAGAUAUUGGGAAGAACACCGGUGGCGAAGGCGACUUGCUGGGCAGCAACUGACGCUGAGGCGCGAAAGCCAGGGGAGCAAACGGGAUUAGAUACCCCGGUAGUCCAUGGCCGUAAACGAUGAAUGCUAGGUGUGGGUGUAGAGAUACAUUCGUGCCGGAGUUAACGCGAUAAGCAUUCCGCCUGGGGAGUACGGUCGCAAGAUUGAAACUCAAAGGAAUUGACGGGGGCCCGCACAAGCGGUGGAGCACGUGGUUUAAUUCGAUGCAAA